RNAcentral lists this ribosomal RNA (117 nucleotides) under Candidatus Woesearchaeota archaeon. Lineage: Archaea; Nanobdellati; Candidatus Woesearchaeota. The record is from RNAcentral.
UUAGACGGCCAUAGGGAGUGGGUCCCACCCGGUCUCAUUCGAACCCGGAAGUUAAACCACUUUCCGUACCGGUCUGUACUGCGCUUUAGGUGUGGGAAAACCGGUAAGCUGUCACCC